Molecule: non-coding RNA, 145 nt
Organism: Gossypium raimondii (Peruvian cotton)
Lineage: Eukaryota; Viridiplantae; Streptophyta; Magnoliopsida; Malvales; Malvaceae
Source: Rfam
UAUACAAAAUUUCAUUUAUUUCUACUAUUAAAAACUGGCGUGACUAACAUAAUAGUUAGACAGUUACACAUGGUGUGCCACAUGUACCUCAUUCUAACAUACAAAGACCAAUUUUUAACAGUUGAAAUGGAUGGAAUUUUUAACA